CAGUCGUAGGCGUCAUUCACAGCGCGUUCCCCUCCGUGGAACGGUGGCAGCACUCUCGAAGAACCGCGCUUCCGCAUAGACCUUCCCCUCCCCCCUCUCCCACACCAACCCACCUCCACCUACGUACAGCGCCAUAAAUAAACACGAGUCUUACUUCCGGCAGUGUAGAUUGAGCGCGGGCUGGCUGCUGCGCCGUUUUGGCGCCAUGUCCGAAGGCUCUGCGCCGCAGCCUCCCAUUCCAGCCUCUUGGGUGCACACCGACUUACAGAAGCUACGACUGCGACGUGAGAGAGUCACCGUGAUCAUGCAUCUCAAGGAGCUGGAGGAUCAUCGGCGGUAUGUGGAAUCGCAGCUUGGCGCCGUAGAGCAACGCACCAGCCGUCAACGCUCUCGUAUAGAGCAGCUGACCAAGGAGCUGCAGAGCCUGACGGCGGAGCUGGCGCCGGAGCUGACGCUCCUCGAGGAGGGUCACCGCAUUGCUGAGGGGAUGCGAAACCAGCUGCACUACCAGAAGAUCAUCUGCCGAGCCUCCUCCUCCUACAGCGGUGAAGUUUCUAGCUUAUCGGCUGCAAACGGCGCAGGCACCGAGGAUCCGCGCACCUCCAUCGCCUGCCCGCUGUCGGUGCACGGCCUCUCUCUCUUUCCCCGCUGCGUUGCCAACGCUGCUCGACCGCAGGCCGCAGAUGUGGAUGCCUUUCUGCAGCGCUGCGCACCGCUCUUUCAGUGGAGUGAGGAGGAGCAAGCGGUGAAGCCGCCGUUCUUCUUCGAUGAGCCCUGCCUCAUGGAGCGCGGCACUGAUGGGACGCUGAGUGCACCCGAGGAGAGUGGCCGCCGCGAUGCAGCAGUGUGCCGCAACGCGGCAUGCCCGUACUGGCACCGCAAUCAGCUUACCCACGUCAAGAUGGCGGUCAUGGUCUUUCUAGACUCCGUGCGUUGCCAUUCGGUGCUCGACGAGCAUCUGUGCGCCGUCACCCACGCGACCGCCCGCCUGGCGCGUCAAGUGCAUCACGCGGACUCCAUCUCGCUAGUAUGUGCCCUGCUCUGUGAGGUGCUGCAGACUUUGAUAGCGACUGGGCUGCAUGUGAGGCUUCUCACGGACAAGCAGUCGACACGUGCGAUGAUGAGCGCACCCACUAUGAAGACGACGGACGCGCAACGCGCUGCACCUGCCCGCGCCGCACUUCUGCGCAGCGCCGAAGAGGUGGAGCGCUGGAGCGCUGUCGAGCAGCAGCAACAGCAGCACUCUGCCAGCACCGACUCUUUAUCGGUCGCGACUGCAGCUGCUGCGCAGUUCCAGCUGCAUCCGAGCUCCUUGUCGUGGCGGUGCAUGCUGUCCGCCGUGGAGGACGUCGCGCAGCGGCGCUGGCUUGGACGUCAAGGCGUGGUCUUGUUUCCUAGCUCGCCAGAGUUGCAUCUGCAGUACGUGCUCGCAGUGCUGAGCAGCGGCGGCAGCGCCGCUGAAGUGCUCGAGACUUGUCUGGCAUCCUGCCGCACACUUUCUGCUCAGGCGGCAGCCUCUGUAGUGGCGGGUCUGGACUGUGGGCAGUACGCCACCAGGGUGGCACGCCAUGCUGCGUACUUGCUUGCUCGCGUGUUUGUGCACGUGGCGCAGACGGACACGGCCGCAGCUUUGGCGUUUCUGGCGCCUCUUUUGAGCUCCGACGCGGAGGCAGGCGUGGCUGCCCUUCUCCUCCCGUUGGCGCGUCAGAAUUUGACGCUGCUGAUGGUGGCGCUGCGCCGCACCGGCCACCUACGCUACACCAACUUCCUCCCUCUCGCCGCCAUCUCCGACAUAGCCCUGGAGCUCGCAUCGCCGGAUGGCGCUAACCCGUCAGAGAGCGGCCGUGACGCACUCUAUGCAGCAUUGAAGCUUGUCAUGUCGUACAAGCGUGACCGCUUCGAUGCGCAGCUGGUGAGCUGCUGUGACGCAGCGCUGCAGAUUAGCGUCCUGCGAACCUUCUCCUACCGACUGGCCUACAUCGAGCGCGUGGUGGAGAAGACGGUGCCGGAGUCGCCGCUAUCGCAGGGCGUUCUGUACAGCGAGUACGUGGAUGCGGUAGCUGAGCAGCAAUCAGUGCAUGCUGCAGCCCUCGUCGCCGACGCUCUCGCGCGCCAUGAAGGGGCUUCCUGUACGCUGACGCUGCUACUGCGAGGACGCCUCCGCAUGUGGGGGGCGUCCCUCUCAUCGGACGCGCGAAACGCCGUGUCGGCGUUCUGCGCGGCGAACCAACUCUCCCUCGACGAACUCGGUGACCCGGUGCACCUUCGGGGUGCCUUCCAGACGCCUUGUUUCUCACGUUCUCCACCUGUCGAGUGGGUAUGCGCGUACGCGCUCCACGUGAUGCACACAAUGGGUGGCGAGGCUGCCGCAGAGUCUGUGUGGGCGAGGAUGGACGCGCUGCCGGUGGAGUCGCUGAUGCAUGACGUAGUGGCUGUCGCUUUUUUCUUUCACAUUCUCCUGCAGCUCAGCGGGGAGGCUCGCAGUGCGACGCUCUUCCACUGCACCGUGAACCGCUGCCUUUCCCUCUUUCUCGAGGCGCACCUCCUCAGCUGGAGCGCACUGGAGGGGUCAGCGGAGAAUAUGAUCGGGCUGCCACACUAUCUGAGUCUCUGCAUCUACCAAGAGGUGCCGCUGCUGCUGGGCCCUGGCAGCGACGACACGUUUGCGUGGCGCUGCCUUGUCCUGGAGGUAGCGGCCCGCUUGGGUGUUCUCCAUCCUCUUCUGAUGACCGACUAGGCCCCGUAGGGUGGUCUUUGCGUGUGCACACGUGUCGGCCGUACCGCGUUCGUAAGCGCUUCCGUCACAAUGCAGUUGCACCAAUGCCUUCACACCCUGGAACAGAGGUUGGAGGAGGGGAAGACCCUUGCGCGAUGACCCGCCUCCACUCCAUCUUCUUUGCGCCGACCUACGCUGCCUGUGCCUGCGUGCGUGCGCCAGUUCUUUCUCAGCUGGACACUUUCUCGAUGGGCACGUGCGAUGCACUGCUGCCCAGACGCAGACGUGGCAGCGGCGGUUCGCGCCGAGCACGUCGGGCCCUCCACGCUCAUGCGGCAUAGCGUCUUCUGUUCAGUCUUCAUGUUGUACGUUUCCAUCUCUGCAUCCCGCCUUCCUUGUUGUUCUCUCGCACAUAUCUCCGCGCUCUGCGUGUCGUGCC
RNAcentral lists this unclassified non-coding RNA (3155 nucleotides) under Leishmania donovani. RNAcentral's name for it is "gene:LdHU3.23.2530(CDS-product:hypothetical_prote in_conserved)". The record is from RNAcentral. Lineage: Eukaryota; Euglenozoa; Kinetoplastea; Trypanosomatida; Trypanosomatidae.